RNAcentral lists this ribosomal RNA (463 nucleotides) under uncultured bacterium. RNAcentral's name for it is "partial 16S ribosomal RNA". It matches the Rfam family "Bacterial small subunit ribosomal RNA", at positions 28 to 507 of the family's 1533-position model. The record is from RNAcentral.
GACGAACGCUGGCGGCGUGCUUAACACAUGCAAGUCGAACGGAAAGGCCUUUUCGGAGGUACUCGAGUGGCGAACGGGUGAGUAACACGUGGGUGAUCUGCCCUGCACUCUGGGAUAAGCCUGGGAAACUGGGUCUAAUACCGGAUAGGACCGCACUUUAGUGUGUGUGGUGGAAAGUUUUUUCGGUGUAGGAUGAGCCCGCGGCCUAUCAGCUUGUUGGUGGGGUAAUGGCCUACCAAGGCGGCGACGGGUAGCCGGACUGAGAGGGUGGUCGGCCACAUUGGGACUGAGAUACGGCCCAGACUCCUACGGGAGGCAGCAGUGGGGAAUAUUGCACAAUGGGCGCAAGCCUGAUGCAGCGACGCCGCGUGGGGGAUGACGGCCUUCGGGUUGUAAACUCCUUUCGCCAGGGACGAAGCGUUUUGUGACGGUACCUGGAGAAGAAGCACCGGCUAACUACGUG